Molecule: ribosomal RNA, 240 nt
Filed under: uncultured bacterium
Lineage: Bacteria
Description: partial 16S ribosomal RNA
Rfam family: Bacterial small subunit ribosomal RNA
Source: RNAcentral
UCAACCUAUGGGACGCAGCAGUGGGGAAUAUUGCACAAUGGGGGGAACCCUGAUGCAGCGACGCGGCGUGGGUGAGGAAGUACUUCGGUAUGUAAAGCCCUAUCAGCAGGGAAGAAAAUGACGGUACCUGACUAAGAAGCCCCGGCUAACUACGUGCCAGCAGACGCGGUAAUACGUAGGGGGCAAGCGGUAUCCGGAUUUACUGGGUGUAAAGGGAGCGUAGACGGGGUGCCAAGUCUG